Molecule: unclassified non-coding RNA, 432 nt
Filed under: soil metagenome
Description: partial contains 5.8S ribosomal RNA, internal transcribed spacer 2, and large subunit ribosomal RNA
Rfam family: 5.8S ribosomal RNA (bases 1-120)
Source: RNAcentral
GAUGAAGAACGUAGCGAAAUGCGAUACGUAAUGUGAAUUGCAGAAUUCAGUGAAUCAUCGAAUCUUUGAACGCAUAUUGCGCUCCCUGGUAUUCCGGAGAGCAUGCUUGUUUGAGUAUCAGUAAACACCUCAACUUCCAUAUCUUUUUUGAAAUGGGAGUUGGACUUGAGUGAUCCCAACGCUUUUCCUCACCGAAAAGUGGCGGGUUACUUGAAAUGCAGGUGCAGCUGGACUUUUCUCUGAGCUAUAAGCAUAUCUAUUUAGUCUGCCUAAAAAACAGAUUAUUACCUUUGCUGCAGCUAACAUAAAGGAGAUUAGUUCUUGUGCUGACUGAUGCAGGAUUCACAAAGACGGCUUCGGCCGACUUUGUAAACUCGAUCUCAAAUCAAGUAAGACUACCCGCUGAACUUAAGCAUAUCAAUAAGCGGAGGA